UAACCUGCCCAAGAGAUCGGGAUAACACCUGGAAACAGAUGCUAAUACCGGAUAACAACAGAUGAUGCCUAUCAACUGUUUAAAAGAUGGUUCUGCUAUCACUCUUGGAUGGACCUGCGGUGCAUUAGCUAGUUGGUAGGGUAACGGCCUACCAAGGCGAUGAUGCAUAGCCGAGUUGAUAGACUGAUCGGCCACAUUGGGACUGAGACACGGCCCAAACUCCUACGGGAGGCAGCAGUC
Molecule: ribosomal RNA, 240 nt
Filed under: uncultured Lactobacillus sp.
Lineage: Bacteria; Bacillati; Bacillota; Bacilli; Lactobacillales; Lactobacillaceae
Description: partial 16S ribosomal RNA
Rfam family: Bacterial small subunit ribosomal RNA
Source: RNAcentral